This 301-nucleotide ribosomal RNA is filed under the name uncultured bacterium. RNAcentral's name for it is "partial 16S ribosomal RNA". It matches the Rfam family "Bacterial small subunit ribosomal RNA", at positions 509 to 807 of the family's 1533-position model. The record is from RNAcentral.
CAGUCGCCGCGGUAAUACGAGGGGGGCAAGCGUUGUUCGGAAUUAUUGGGCGUAAAGGGUGCGUAGGCGGUUUGGCAAGUUUGGUGUGAAAUCUUCGGGCUCAACUCGAAGUCUGCAUCGAAAACUGCCGGGCUUGAGUAUGGGAGAGGUGAGUGGAAUUUCCGGUGUAGCGGUGAAAUGCGUAGAUAUCGGAAGGAACACCUGUGGCGAAAGCGGCUCACUGGACCAUUACUGACGCUGAGGCGCGAAAGCUAGGGGAGCAAACAGGAUUAGAUACCCCUGUAGUCCCUGUCUCUUAUAC